UACGUAGGGGGCAAGCGUUGUCCGGAAUCAUUGGGCGUAAAGGGCGCGUAGGCGGCCUGCUAAGUCGGAUGUGAAAUCCCUCGGCUCAACCGAGGAACUGCAUCCGAUACUGGCGGGCUUGAAUCCGGGAGAGGGAUGUGGAAUUCCAGGUGUAGCGGUGAAAUGCGUAGAUAUCUGGAGGAACACCGGUGGCGAAGGCGGCAUCCUGGACCGGUAUUGACGCUGAGGCGCGAAAGCUAGGGGAGCAAACGGG
Molecule: ribosomal RNA, 253 nt
Filed under: uncultured bacterium
Lineage: Bacteria
Description: partial 16S ribosomal RNA
Rfam family: Bacterial small subunit ribosomal RNA
Source: RNAcentral